UGAAGUUACUUAGAAAGCCGAUGAAGAUGCUAAGAAGACAACUGAGGUUUCUCUGACUCGAGGUGAGUCAUCAACAACUGACCUCACUCCUCUAGUCAUCAAGACUCUGGAAGAGUUGCAGAAAGAACAACAACUAGUUAGAGUCAGACUCGACAAGCAGGACCAAGUCAACUCCAGCAUCCAGAAUCUUCUAACUGAGUUUCUUUAGAGGAUGCCUCCUCCUCCA
This 226-nucleotide long non-coding RNA is filed under the name Lathyrus oleraceus (garden pea). Its description in RNAcentral is "Pisum sativum (pea) long non-coding RNA (PSAT_LNC013568)". The record is from RNAcentral. Lineage: Eukaryota; Viridiplantae; Streptophyta; Magnoliopsida; Fabales; Fabaceae.